UACGUAGGGGGCAAGCGUUGUCCGGAAUCAUUGGGCGUAAAGCGCGUGUAGGCGGCUCGGUAAGUCUGCUGUGAAAGCCCAGGGCUCAACCCUGGGAUGCCGGUGGAUACUGUCGAGCUCGAGUCCGGAAGAGGCGAGUGGAAUUCCUGGUGUAGCGGUGAAAUGCGCAGAUAUCAGGAGGAACACCAAUAGCGAAGGCAGCUCGCUGGGACGUUACUGACACUGAGGCGCGAAAGCGUGGGGAGCGAACAGG
RNAcentral lists this ribosomal RNA (253 nucleotides) under uncultured bacterium. Its description in RNAcentral is "partial 16S ribosomal RNA". It matches the Rfam family "Bacterial small subunit ribosomal RNA", at positions 524 to 776 of the family's 1533-position model. The record is from RNAcentral.